ACAAGCGGUGGAUGAUGUGGAUUAAUUCGAUGCAACGCGAAAACCUUACCUACCCUUGACAUGUCCGGAAUCCCGAAGAGAUUUGGGAGUGCUCGCAAGAGAACCGGAACACAGGUGCUGCAUGGCUGUCGUCAGCUCGUGUCGUGAGAUGUUGGGUUAAGUCCCGCAACGAGCGCAACCCUUGUCAUUAGUUGCCAUCAUUUGGUUGGGCACUCUAAUGAGACUGCCGGUGACAAACCGGAGGAAGGUGGGGAUGACGUCAAGUCCUCAUGGCCCUUAUGGGUAGGGCUUCACACGUCAUACAAUGGUCGGUACAGAGGGUUGCCAACCCGCGAGGGGGAGCUAAUCCCACAAAGCCGAUCGUAGUCCGGAUCGCAGUCUGCAACUCGACUGCGUGAAGUCGGAAUCGCUAGUAAUCGCAGGUCAGCAUACUGCGGUGAAUACGUUCCCGGGUCUU
RNAcentral lists this ribosomal RNA (457 nucleotides) under uncultured Rhodocyclaceae bacterium. RNAcentral describes it as "bacterial SSU rRNA". It matches the Rfam family "Bacterial small subunit ribosomal RNA", at positions 925 to 1382 of the family's 1533-position model. Lineage: Bacteria; Pseudomonadati; Pseudomonadota; Betaproteobacteria; Rhodocyclales; Rhodocyclaceae. The record is from RNAcentral.